Molecule: small RNA, 27 nt
Filed under: Bombyx mori (domestic silkworm)
Lineage: Eukaryota; Metazoa; Arthropoda; Insecta; Lepidoptera; Bombycidae
Description: piRNA piR-bmo-2087163
Source: RNAcentral
UGAUUGGAUAUUGUAACGCAUUGUAGA